ACAAUGAAGAGUUUGAUCCUGGCUCAGGAUGAACGCUAGCGGCAGGCUUAAUACAUGCAAGUCGAGGGGCAGCGCGGGUAGCAAUACCUGGCGGCGACCGGCGCACGGGUGCGUAACACGUAUGCAACCUACCUUAAACUGGGGAAUAGCCCCUCGAAAGAGGGAUUAAUGCCCCAUAACACUGUGAAGAGGCAUCUUUUUACAUUUAAAGCUCCGGCGGUUUAAGAUGGGCAUGCGCGACAUUAGCUAGUUGGUGAGGUAACGGCUCACCAAGGCUGUGAUGUCUAGGGGUUCUGAGAGGAAAAUCCCCCACACUGGUACUGAGACACGGACCAGACUCCUACGGGAGGCAGCAGUAAGGAAUAUUGGUCAAUGGACGCAAGUCUGAACCAGCCAUGCCGCGUGCAGGAUGACGGCCCUAUGGGUUGUAAACUGCUUUUGUACGGAAAAAAACCCCCCGACGUGUCGGGGGCUGAUGGUACCGUAAGAAUAAGGAUCGGCUAACUCCGUGCCAGCAGCCGCGGUAAUACGGAGGAUCCUAGCGUUAUCCGGAUUUAUUGGGUUUAAAGGGUGCGCAGGCGGAAUAGUAAGUCAGUGGUGAAAUCCUGCAGCUUAACUGCAGAACUGCCAUUGAUACUGUUAUUCUUGAGUAUAUUUGAAGUGGGCGGAAUGUGUCAUGUAGCGGUGAAAUGCUUAGAUAUGACACAGAACACCAAUUGCGAAGGCAGCUCACUAAACUAUAACUGACGCUCAUGCACGAAAGCGUGGGGAUCAAACAGGAUUAGAUACCCUGGUAGUCCACGCUGUAAACGAUGAUUACUCGAUGUUGGCGAUAUACAGUCAGCGUCUAAGCGAAAGCAAUAAGUAAUCCACCUGGGGAGUACGAUCGCAAGGUUGAAACUCAAAGGAAUUGACGGGGGCCCGCACAAGCGGAGGAGCAUGUGGUUUAAUUCGAUGAUACGCGAGGAACCUUACCUGGGCUUGAAUGCUAUACUUCGCAAGAAGGUGUCUGCAGAAAUGUAGAUGAAAAUUGCAAGGUGCUGCAUGGCUGUCGUCAGCUCGUGCCGUGAGGUGUCGGGUUAAGUCCCAUAACGAGCGCAACCCCUAUUGUUAGUUGCCAUCAGGUAAUGCUGGGCACUCUAGCGAAACUGCCUACGCAAGUAGUGAGGAAGGUGGGGAUGACGUCAAGUCAGCACGGCCCUUACGCCCAGGGCUACACACGUGCUACAAUGGCCGGUACAGAGGGCAGCUACCAGGUGACUGGAUGCAAAUCUCUAAAACCGGUCUCAGUUCGGAUCGAAGUCUGCAACUCGACUUCGUGAAGUUGGAUUCGCUAGUAAUCGGAUAUCAGCAAUGAUCCGGUGAAUACGUUCCCGGGCCUUGUACACACCGCCCGUCAAGCCAUGGAAGUCGGGAGUACCUGAAGUCGAUGACCGCAAGGAAUUGCCUAGGGUAAAACCGAUGACUGGGGCUAAGUCGUAACAAGGUAGCCGUACCGGAAGGUGUGGCUGGAAUACCUCCUUU
Molecule: ribosomal RNA, 1524 nt
Filed under: Bacteroidales bacterium
Lineage: Bacteria; Pseudomonadati; Bacteroidota; Bacteroidia; Bacteroidales
Description: bacterial SSU rRNA
Rfam family: Bacterial small subunit ribosomal RNA
Source: RNAcentral